This 503-nucleotide ribosomal RNA is filed under the name uncultured bacterium. Its description in RNAcentral is "partial 16S ribosomal RNA". It matches the Rfam family "Bacterial small subunit ribosomal RNA", at positions 29 to 507 of the family's 1533-position model. The record is from RNAcentral.
AACGAACGCUGGCGGCGUGCCUAACACAUGCAAGUCGAACGAGAAAGGGGCUUCGGCCCCGAGUAAAGUGGCGCACGGGUGAGUAACACGUGGGUAACCUGCCUCUAAGAUUGGGAUAACUCGUCGAAAGAUGAGCUAAUACCGAAUAAGACCACAGUUCCCGCGGGAACAGGGGUCAAAGGUAGCCUCUGCUUGCAAGCUAUCACUUAGAGAUGGGCCUGCGCACCAUUAGCUAGUUGGUAGGGUAACGGCCUACCAAGGCAAAGAUGGUUAGCUGGUCUGAGAGGAUGAUCAGCCACACUGGAACUGAGACACGGUCCAGACUCCUACGGGAGGCAGCAGUGGGGAAUAUUGCGCAAUGGGCGAAAGCUUGACGCAGCAACGCCGCGUGAGUGAUGAAGGCCUUCGGGUCGUAAAGCUCUGUCGGGAGGAACGAAUGCUCCUGAGGUUAACAGCCUCGGGAGGUGACGGUACCUUCAAAGGAAGCACCGGCUAACUCUGUG